GACGAACGCUGGCGGCGUGCUUAACACAUGCAAGUCGAACGGAAAGGCCCUGCUUGCAGGGUACUCGAGUGGCGAACGGGUGAGUAACACGUAGGUGAUCUGCCCUGCACUUCGGGAUAAGCUUGGGAAACUGGGUCUAAUACCGGAUAGGAGCCAUCUUUAGUGUGGUGGUUGGAAAGUUUUUUCGGUGUAGGAUGAGCUCGCGGCCUAUCAGCUUGUUGGUGGGGUAAUGGCCUACCAAGGCGGCGACGGGUAGCCGGCCUGAGAGGGUGUACGGCCACAUUGGGACUGGGAUACGGCCCAGACUCCUACGGGAGGCAGCAGUGGGGAAUAUUGCACAAUGGGCGCAAGCCUGAUGCAGCGACGCCGCGUGGGGGAUGAAGGCCUUCGGGUUGUAAACUCCUUUCGCUAGGGACGAAGCUUUGUUGUGACGGUACCUAGAUAAGAAGCACCGGCUAACUACGUG
Molecule: ribosomal RNA, 466 nt
Filed under: uncultured bacterium
Lineage: Bacteria
Description: partial 16S ribosomal RNA
Rfam family: Bacterial small subunit ribosomal RNA
Source: RNAcentral